Molecule: ribosomal RNA, 253 nt
Filed under: uncultured bacterium
Lineage: Bacteria
Description: partial 16S ribosomal RNA
Rfam family: Bacterial small subunit ribosomal RNA
Source: RNAcentral
UACGAAGGGGGCUAGCGUUAUUCGGAAUCAUUGGGCGUAAAGGGCGCGUAGGCGGCUUGGCAAGUCAAAGGUGAAAUCCCUCGGCCUAACCGAGGAACUGCCUUUGAAACUGCUUGGCUUGAGGCCGGGAGAGGGUAGCGGAAUUCCCAGUGUAGCGGUGAAAUGCGUAGAUAUUGGGAGGAACACCAGUGGCGAAGGCGGCUACCUGGACCGGUUCUGACGCUGAGGCGCGAAAGCGUGGGGAGCAAACAGG